This 72-nucleotide transfer RNA is filed under the name Microthamnion kuetzingianum. RNAcentral's name for it is "tRNA-His". It matches the Rfam family "tRNA". From Rfam's summary of the family: Transfer RNA (tRNA) molecules are approximately 80 nucleotides in length. The record is from RNAcentral. Lineage: Eukaryota; Viridiplantae; Chlorophyta; Trebouxiophyceae; Microthamniales; Microthamniaceae.
GUAGGCGUAGCCAAGUGGUAAGGCAGUGGAUUGUGGCUUCACUAUUCGCGGGUUCAAGUCCCGUCGCUUACC